RNAcentral lists this ribosomal RNA (384 nucleotides) under Triticum aestivum (bread wheat). Its description in RNAcentral is "partial small subunit ribosomal RNA". Lineage: Eukaryota; Viridiplantae; Streptophyta; Magnoliopsida; Poales; Poaceae. The record is from RNAcentral.
AUGCCCAUCUUUAAUUUGCUUAACUUAGAAGAUUUGGUUGAAAAUUUUGAUGAUCUUCACUGGCUAGAAGCUCCUUUUACUAAAGCUGAGAUUGAUGCAGUCAUUAAGGAUCUCCCUUCUGAUAAAGCACCUGGGCCUGAUGGCUUCAACAGCAGUUUUGUUAAAGCUUGCUGGGAUAUCAUUGCUAAUGACUUCUACCAGUUGAUUGAGGAUUUCUUUAAGGGUGAGGUAGAUCUGCAGAGCAUCAAUUCCUCUUUCAUUACUCUAAUUCCCAAAAAGAUGCUCCUAUUGAGGCUAAUAAUUUCAGACCUAUUUCACUCCUUAAUUGCUCCAUUAAGAUUAUCACAAAGUUGUUGGCCAACAAACUGCAAAAAAUUAUUCUGA